GGUAAAAAAAUCUAGUUCGACAAAAGAACUACUCAGUACAGUCAAGCGAACAUCUUCAGCCCAAAGCGACUUUACUUUUUUGUGAUAUGGGCUUCAACUUCUCUCGAAGAGCACUGCAUGGUAAUGAGAUGCAAUAUUUUUACAAUGAAGUAAUGAAGUGUAGUUUCCAAGAACAAGAAAAUUGAUAAACAUGAUGAAAUGCAGUUUUUACAAUGAAGUAAUGAAGUGUAGUUUCCAACAACAAGAAAAUUGAUAAACGAGGCAAUUGGGUGGAUACUGCUCUUUCAGGUUGUCGUCGCCGCCUUCGAACCUACAUGCGCCACUGCAAAGGAAAUAUCCAGUCGUUCAGCACUGCAAGCAUCUUCUUUCCCUGUUGACGUUCGAAGUAGGGG
RNAcentral lists this long non-coding RNA (392 nucleotides) under Triticum aestivum (bread wheat). Its description in RNAcentral is "long non-coding RNA (TAES_LNC027156)". Lineage: Eukaryota; Viridiplantae; Streptophyta; Magnoliopsida; Poales; Poaceae. The record is from RNAcentral.